GUAUUGCAGCGAAAUUGUCUAAACUGGUAUUAACUAUUCCUGGUAAAUCGCGGAGAAGAGUGGCUUGAACAAAAAAGUCAGACCGUGACUAGAACCACCAGCAGCGUAACAAGGAAAUCUCGGAGCAAAGAGACGCAGAGUGGAGCGUGUUGUCCGGUUUGGAUAUCAGCGGCAAAGCGAACGUUGUGUGUACUAUUGCAAAAUAUAUAUAGCGGAUCUCCACGGUUAGGAUACAGAACACAACGCUUUGGACGUAUCUUUAAAAAAGAGAAAAAUCAGAGACUUUUUGGAUUUGUCUGGGACAUUUUAAACAUUUUGUGGCAAAUUGGAUUUAAAACAUUUCGGAUACUGGAUACCCGUGUUUGAUUUGUCCACAGAGCUGGUCGCUUUUUAAAAUCACAAGGGUAAGUGGCUAAAUACAUUUUUUUUUUCAUCGCUCAUAUAAUCCGUUUUUUACUCAUUUUGACUUAGAGUUUUUUCAUUUGUUUUAUUUUUCAUCGUUUAUAUAAUCCGUUUUUAUACUCAUUUUGGUUUAGAGUUUUUCAUUGUU
Paramisgurnus dabryanus is the source of this 550-nucleotide long non-coding RNA. RefSeq lists it as uncharacterized. The record is from RefSeq and is a predicted model, not a curated record. Lineage: Eukaryota; Metazoa; Chordata; Actinopteri; Cypriniformes; Cobitidae.